This is a long non-coding RNA of Hypomesus transpacificus, 1066 nucleotides long. RefSeq lists it as uncharacterized. The transcript has 2 exons. Lineage: Eukaryota; Metazoa; Chordata; Actinopteri; Osmeriformes; Osmeridae. The record is from RefSeq and is a predicted model, not a curated record.
ACAACCCAGGGAACAACAGCAUCACCAACACACACACGCCACCCAUCUGGCUUUCACAUCAGUCAGCACUCCCCACCGGAGCGGCCCUGUCAUUGUCUCCAACAGAAAGUCAUGUAACACAGAACCAGCAUGGCUUCUCUGAACCUGGAAUAUGUACGCAUGAGAUCAUGUCUAACUGUCCACUGUAAACAUAGUUAGUGUCUCUGCGCUCCCAUUUUAGGCUUUGCCCUUUGUCACACUAAUGAUUGAAACAGAUGUUAUAACCAUGACAACAUGUACUAUAUUAUGGUAGAAACAUCUUCCAUCCUUGAAUCAUUCCCACUGUUGUUUUUAUUAGUGAACAACAGUGUAGGACUCAGAACGGGUCACAUGCCCUUGUCAGAUGCUAUCUCAUGAAUGCACAAGUGUUUAGAUCUGUCAGGAAUAAACUAUGAGUAAGACACUGUUCCCUUUCACAGCUCAAUAAACUUGGAUUUCCUAACAUCUGUCAACUUCUGGGUGGCUUGAUUCAACAUUUACGUAACCCUAAUAUGUACUCAAUAAAUAACGCUGACAUGUGGUAAAUAAAGCACUUCAUAGAGCUCUGUCACUACUGAGUUCAGUGUUCACUUGUUGGGAACAUCUUGGUCGUGGUAUUUGUGACCUUCACAACUGCGUGGUGUAUUUGUGACCUUCACCACUGCAUAGUAAAUGACUGACGAUGAUAAGACAUACAUUUGUGAGAGUCAAGCUACAGUGAGUCUUUGAUGGCCUCUGUACUGCAAUAGGCCUAAUAAACACUGACUGUACUUUGACUUUGUUAUCAGAAACCCCAGAGUCAUACUUGAAGAAUCUUUCAAGUAUGUACAACUCACAUUAACAAAGCACAUGUCACUCUAACCCACUUAACGUGUUCAGCAAAUGGAAGUCAGUUUACUCUAACACCGAGAGCUAGAGACCAUGAUAUUACAUUAAAUUAGAUAAAAAAACAGACAACAAUUUUCUGUCCAGUCUUCCCAGCAGAUCUAUUUUCUAUCUUGGGUACAUACCAGAAAUAUGGGCUUUACUGACUACUCCUUAGAAUAUC